This 478-nucleotide ribosomal RNA is filed under the name uncultured bacterium. RNAcentral describes it as "partial 16S ribosomal RNA". It matches the Rfam family "Bacterial small subunit ribosomal RNA", at positions 28 to 507 of the family's 1533-position model. The record is from RNAcentral.
GAUGAACGCUGGCGGCGUGCUUAACACAUGCAAGUCGAACGGGAAACCUUUUAUUGAAGCUUCGGCAGAUUUAGCUGGCUUCUAGUGGCGGACGGGCGCGUAACGCGUGGGUAACCUGCCUUAUACAGGGGGAUAACAGUCAGAAAUGGCUGCUAAUACCGCAUAAGCGCACAAAGCUGCAUGGCUCAGUGCGCAAAACUCCGGUGGUAUAAGCUGGACCGGCGUUGGAUUAGCUGGUUGGUGGGGUAACGGCCCACCAAGGCGACGAUCCAUAGCCGGCCUGAGGGGGUGAACGGCCACAUUGGGACUGAGACACGGCCCAGAAUCCUGCGGGAGGCAGCAGUAGGGAAUAUUGCACAAUGGGGGAAAGCCUGAUGCAGCGACGCCGCGUGAAGGAAGAAGUAUCUCGGGAUGUAAACUUCUAUCAGCAGGGAAGAUAAUGACGGUACCUUAGUAAGAAGCCCCGGCUAACUACGUG